GGCACAACUUCCUUUGGUUUGUAAGUAUAAGGAUGUCCUUUCACAGUCCCAGUCCAGUUAACUCGCGUCAACGUAUACCCAGUGCAACCAUCCGGAUCCUUCAUGUUCAACAGCGUCGGGAAAUAAUGCUCCUCCGGGUAACACUCAUCAGAACGAUAACACGGGAGCUUGAAUUUACGCCACAAGAUCCGAUCUUUGAUUGUUAACAAAGCAUGUCUUCUAGUCAUAACAAAGAACUGCGAACCAACUCUGAAUUUCUCAAACGGAACCUCAGGCAUCAUAG
Long non-coding RNA from Arabidopsis thaliana (thale cress), 283 nucleotides. RefSeq annotates it as other RNA. The transcript has a single exon. Lineage: Eukaryota; Viridiplantae; Streptophyta; Magnoliopsida; Brassicales; Brassicaceae. The record is from RefSeq.